ACGAAAAGUUGAAAUCUACAUUCUUACGUAUUUUCAUCCCUAUUCACACUUCACACACCUCACGCUAUGCGUUCCAAAUGUGUGACUAGGGUUUCACACAUUUACAUUGAUACAUUCUGAAGAUUAAUGCAAAGACCUUCAGUCAGUCUUUCUCUCCCUCUCUUCAUUUGAAAUGUCAUCAGGAGGUCCAUCUCAACAUCCACCUUAUGUUGACAGAAAAAGAAAGCGGAUUACACAACGAAAGGAACGACGUUAUGUGCCAAGAGUUACACCAGAUCACAUACCAUCUUGAUCUGCCCCAAUUCCAUCCAUUGUUGUUGUGACACCCAAACCUCUCCUAUCCCCAUCUAUUGUCGCACCCACACAAAAAAAUCAGGCUUUUGAAAAGGAACAGGAGCUUGGACUAUCUAUGUUGAUUGAUGAGGUCUUUCAGCAAACUCAUAUAUUGAAGGAUAAUGGCCAACUUGUCCACGAAAGAUAUAAGACACAUGAAGAAUUUGAGCCUAGACUUUCACAAGCCAAGUCUGAGGUUGGACGAAGCAGAAGUGACUAGUGCUUUUAAUCCUAUUCAGGACAAGAUUGUCAAGACUCAGUGUUGGGUUGAAACAAUUGGUGGAAAACAUUAUGGAGCUAAACAACUUACUACAAAUUGUAGAAGCGAGAAUGAUAGCCUAUAUAUGACUCUGAGGAGAUAAACCAACUUAGACAACGAAUUUCAGCUUGUGAGGAGGCGAAGGAACAUUGUCUCGCCAGAUGGAAGCCUUUGAGUCCUUAUUGGGUGAAAUUAUACAAUUUCUCCCUCUUGAUGCACAAAAUCUUUAUCAGAAGUACUUGAUCAACCAAGGCCAACACAAGCAACAUGUCCCCCAACAAGAAGACCCUCAACAAUCCCAACAGAACCAACAACAAAAUGAUCAAGAGUAGAAAUAAUAAUUUAAAUAUUGUUAUUUAAAGUUUAUAUGUGGUCUUAAGAUGGUAUGUGAUACUCACUUUUUAUUUAAUAUUUACUUUCCAAACUCGUGUUAUAUGUUUAAGAUAUUUGGUUCUUAAAUUUGAUAUUUAAGGUUUACGAUAUGGUU
Vigna unguiculata (cowpea) is the source of this 1079-nucleotide long non-coding RNA. RefSeq lists it as uncharacterized. NCBI's taxonomy places the organism in Eukaryota, Viridiplantae, Streptophyta, Magnoliopsida, Fabales, Fabaceae. The record is from RefSeq and is a predicted model, not a curated record.